CGACACCGUUGCAACACCUCCCAUCACCACCUGCUCCUAAUCCGGUCAGAUGGCGCACCAUAUUGCCAGGGAUCUGCUCUCCUCCACCAUGGUUCAAAGCUCCGAGGUGACGACUAUUCCCCGACGGAUGAAUUUAGCUCCAACGAGUGGCAUAGAUCCCAGGUUUCAAGCCACCACUGCGCGGAUGUACCACGAUCCGCCAAUUGUUUUCCCUGAUGGUGCCCCUACCAUAUCUACGAGUAGUACAAAUUGUGAAAAAAAGCCGAGAAGCUGCGGAUGACGCUGAAGGUACAGAGGAGGAGGAAGAACUGCAAUACCUGUGGAUGUUGCCAACGUUUCUCAUUGUAGCUGAGUUGAUUUGGAAUGAAGCCGUGUAGUUUGAAUUCAGAUGACGCAUCAUGCAUUGUAAUUCCCUUACCUCAAUGGAUCCAUGUCUAUGAAUUUGUUAAUUAAAUGCACUAAGCACCAUUGCCGUCAAGUACUAUUGAUUUUCUUUGCA
Molecule: long non-coding RNA, 499 nt
Organism: Triticum aestivum (bread wheat)
Lineage: Eukaryota; Viridiplantae; Streptophyta; Magnoliopsida; Poales; Poaceae
Exons: 2
Source: RefSeq, a predicted model, not a curated record